This 387-nucleotide transfer-messenger RNA is filed under the name Candidatus Nomurabacteria bacterium. It matches the Rfam family "transfer-messenger RNA". From Rfam's summary of the family: Bacterial tmRNA, also known as 10Sa RNA or SsrA, is named for its dual tRNA and mRNA-like properties. Its role is to liberate the mRNA from a stalled ribosome. To accomplish this part of the tmRNA is used as a reading frame that ends in a translation stop signal. The record is from RNAcentral. RNAcentral also lists the same sequence under 2 other names. Lineage: Bacteria; Candidatus Nomuraibacteriota.
GGGAAUGUAAGGCAUCGACAAAGGAUUAGUUUUGUAUGGUGCGUGCCGAGCUCGUGCGAAACGCUCGUAAAACAGCGCACAAAACUCAAAUGCAAAAACAUUUGGUAAGGUAACAUCACCAUACUUCGGUAUGGCUGAUCUUGCUCUCGCUCGAGCUUAAGCUCGCGAGUGUCUCUGUGUUCGACUUCCGAUAAAAUACACGAGGCAACAUCUAUCGGGAUAGAAAAAUAUCGCGUCUCAGAUAAUUUUCGAAACAAUUGAGAAUCGAGUAAAUAUUAUUUUGUUGGUUUUAUAGAUAUUUGCUUUAAACAAAUAAAACAAACUAUGCACGUAGACUCCAUACGAAACCUCCCUUGCACGGGGGUUCGACUCCCCCCAUUUCCACUG